Molecule: transfer RNA, 77 nt
Filed under: Magnetococcales bacterium
Lineage: Bacteria; Pseudomonadati; Pseudomonadota; Magnetococcia; Magnetococcales
Description: tRNA-Pro
Rfam family: tRNA
About the family: Transfer RNA (tRNA) molecules are approximately 80 nucleotides in length.
Source: RNAcentral
CUGGGUGUGGCGCAUUCAGGAAGCGCAUCGGCUUUGGGUGCCGAGGGCCGGAGGUUCGAAUCCUCUCACCCAGACCA